GGGCCAAACAUUUUGCUGACUCAUGCUCUGAAAGCAGGGAACAGCUCACACAUUUAAAUCUUCCUGCAUAAGUUUAGGAUGAUAUGGAUAAAAGUCAUAUAUUUUUUUCUUCUGCUAGAGCUAAAAACCUUCAUGAAAGUGGAAGGUGUAUCUGAAUCAUAAGAUGAGACAGCUGAAUUGAUCUAACAGCUCAACACUGAUAAAAGAAAGACAUCUCUCUCCUAAUUCUGGUCUUCCAUCACUCCUCUUCCCUGGGCUCUGCUUUUCAAAGGCUAUCAGUGAUCCAGCUCAGCUCACUAACCCAAAAGAAAAUUGAUCAAGAACAAAGCAACUUGAUAUUUUCUCUUUAGCUAAUGAAGAUCAUACUUCUGCAAACUUUCUGAUGACCACUAAGAUCUCCUCCUGAUGUUGGUGGUGAGCUACAGAUCAGCAGUCUCCUUAAACUUCACCAUGUGCUCUAGUUUGUGGCUUUAUCUUCAAAGGUGAAAGAGUUUGACCCAAGAUAUAGGACGAUUUGUGCUACUUUAAUAACUCUACCGCCAUGAUGACGGAGCAGCAACAACAUGCAGUUAGCAACAAGAAAGCCUAAAAGCAAGUCUGUGGUUCCUCAGUCAGCAACAGUGGUGCUCAGACAGUCCCAUCUCUGCCCAUCUAACUAAUUUCUUCUUCCACCUGCCCUCCUGUUCCGUGCCACUGAGCGAUCUGUGUAGUUGUGUAAUGAAUCACACAGGCCAAACAUUCCGAGUGAAGAGAACAAACAGUAUUUCUCCAUUUUUCCGAGUUGUAUUCUAUCAGCUCGCUCAUUUGUUCACCAUGCAGCUACACAAACAAUUCUGCUGGCACAGUGCAGGGAGUGGCACGCGAACUGUCAGUGGGAAGAGAGGGAAAUGGGAAGAAAAAAGCCAAGAUUACUUAAGCCAGUAUCAUCACCAAAUAAAUCCUCAUGGACCCACAGCUCAUGUGAACAGAGCCUUUCAUUUAGUUUAUAGUGACCUUUCUUCCAGAAUAACUUGUUCUGCAUGUGAAGGAGCUUUCACUGAGCCAGAAAAUCACAUUUUUUCACCGUACGAAGCCUGUUUACAAAGGGAUUUGAGACGCCAGUUUAUUGAAGAAAUCUGAGGGAUCUGCAGCCCCACGCUGGCUCUGCAUGAAGGUCCAGCAGCCAUACCACCUCCGUCAUCAACAGGAAUUCAACUGCUGGUUUGAGGAGUGCUGCCUACACCUUGGACUACAAAAUAGAGGAGAACUGGAGAUCAAUGUAUUUUGGAGAUCCCUGAAGAUACCCAGUGGAAUGCAGCCACUUUGUUAAAGACCUGAACUGGAGGCCAGUUUUCCAGAGGUCCCGGUUGGCAACCUUGACUCCAGCAGCUGCAUAUUGGGAUAAGUACCCACCUACAGAUUUGGAAACGUCACAGGAAUUUGUCCAUACAUCAAAAACUACCCAGAAGAGUUUUCUUUCCAUGUUCUCACCAGUCAUCUCUGCCCUUGUCUGAAGCUUGAAGAAAGUUUUCAAUACAACGCUAUCAUUUAAUGAUGCAUUCUCCUGCAUCGGGGCCAUUAGCAGACUGCGUAAGUACCCCGAUGAAGUUCAUGAACAGUUUGAAUUAAUUUAAUUAACACUUGUUUCAAACUUUACGGUAAACUGUUAAACUGCAGAAAUAGGAAUGCCGAUUCCUCCUGCGCACACUAGGAAAGCACUAGCUCCCUUUCAGAAAGGAAAUCUAAAUUCAUCCUGAGCGUCAUUUGGACGUCUGACUCAAAGGUUUAGUAGCAUGUCUAGCCAAGCCACAGAACGCUUUCACAUCUGGAUGUGUCCCAUUUGCUAAACAGCUUCAGUCUGCGAACAAUUCCAAAAUACACUGUGCUUUAUUAUUAUAAAAGAAUGUAAUGUUAUAUAACCAAACGUGAAAGCACAUAUUGUGGGAUAUUUCAGAAAGAACAACAUGUUAAAACUGCACUUUUAAAACAAGGUUUGAAUUUAAUGGAGAAAAUGGCCUCAACUGGUCUGCAUAUGUCAAUAGUUUACUUUACGUAAUGGGCUGAGGUCAGAGCAGCCUGCCAGCAGAACUGUUUUUAAAAUUAAAAUCACACUGGUGGGAGGGGAGCAGCUUUCUGACCCUCAGAGCAGGGGUGGACCUGAGCCACAAAUGUCAGAGUUGGGUUGUUCAGAAGUCCGAAGCACUGAGACCCCGGGCUAUUGCCUCGAUGCUUCUCUGAAGCAGACCUAGAAGUUAUCCUCAGGUAAUUGGGGCUGUGUCUCUCUUUAUAGAACACUGCUUCUGCGUCAUUCCCUUCGGAGUUGAGGGCAGCCGAAAU
This is a long non-coding RNA of Numida meleagris (helmeted guineafowl), 2316 nucleotides long. RefSeq lists it as uncharacterized. The record is from RefSeq and is a predicted model, not a curated record. NCBI's taxonomy places the organism in Eukaryota, Metazoa, Chordata, Aves, Galliformes, Numididae. The transcript is spliced from 3 exons.